UGGGGAAUAUUGCACAAUGGGCGAAAGCCUGAUGCAGCAACGCCGCGUGAGUGAUGAAGGCCUUCGGGUUGUAAAGCUCUGUCUUUUGGGACGAUAAUGACGGUACCAAAGGAGGAAGCCACGGCUAACUACGUGCCAGCAGCCGCGGUAAUACGUAGGUGGCAAGCGUUGUCCGGAUUUACUGGGCGUAAAGGAUGCGUAGGCGGAUUUUUAAGUGAGAUGUGAAAACCCUAAGCUUAACUUGGGGACUGCAUUUCAUACUGGAAAUCUAGAGUGCGGGAGAGGAGAAUGGAAUUCCUAGUGUAGCGGUGAAAUGCGUAGAGAUUAGGAAGAACACCAGUGGCGAAGGCGAUUCUCUGGACCGUAACUGACGCUGAGGCAUGAAAGCGUGGGCAGCAAACAGGAUUAGAUACCCUGGUAGUCCACGCCGUAAACGAUGAGUACUAGGUGUAGGAGGUAUCGACCCCUUCUGUGCCGCAGUUAACACAAUAAGUACUCCGCCUGGGAAGUACGAUCGCAAGAUUAAAACUCAAAUGAAUUGACGGGGUCAUAGC
RNAcentral lists this ribosomal RNA (554 nucleotides) under uncultured bacterium. RNAcentral's name for it is "partial 16S ribosomal RNA". It matches the Rfam family "Bacterial small subunit ribosomal RNA", at positions 355 to 925 of the family's 1533-position model. The record is from RNAcentral.